Molecule: non-coding RNA, 543 nt
Organism: Pelobates cultripes (western spadefoot toad)
Lineage: Eukaryota; Metazoa; Chordata; Amphibia; Anura; Pelobatidae
Source: the annotation of a GenBank genome assembly
CCGUGAUGCAACUCAUGUCAAUGGCGACAGCUCUAAUCGGCAGCUCACCAGGUGGAACCACCCUCUGAAGGGACCUUUCUGGCCGGCCCCUAACCUACAGGAACUUGUAGAGAGCGCUUCCGAAGCGCAUACCGGCAAGUCUAAUGAUGUGCUUGUGAUGUGCUGCCUAACACCGGUUCAAUGGUGUCCUUAGAUGCAUUACAACUGAGAACAAAAUAGUGACCCAAGUUGGCACAGGGUAGGCUGGUGGACUACUGUUUUCAUAACUAACUUCUAGCAUAUGGCUAAUAAAAAGAAUUGGGGGCGUUGAAGCCAAGAGUUCAGUGGAGUAAAUUAAUGGGGAAGGACUAGUCUUGCAAAUCAAGUCUUGAUGGACACUUGCAGUUGGUAAACAUUUAAAUGGUGAUAGAGCUCCUCUAAGUUCCACAUUCUUUUGAGAUUAGAGUUCUGUACAUUAUCCUGAAAAUCCAGAAUGAAUGAAUGCUUUCCUGAAGGAUUAUAGCAUGACCCCUCUCCAUUCUACGUGUAAUAUUUUGCACACCC